CUUUUAUUAUCAUGAUGAGGAUAAGCAAGAUCAGGCUGCUCAUGUUGAACUAAGAAAGUUUCAGAAUAGGGAAGGACCAUUUAACAAGAAGCUUGCAAGGACUUUCCAAAAUUUUGAUUACAAUCCAGGUUUUAUUUAUGCAUCAUGGUGGCGCCUGUAUGGAACUGAAGUACCAGCCUUACAAAAGAUGGCAACAAGGAUCCUUUCUUUAACAUCAAGUGCAUCUGGCUGUGAAAGAAACUGGAGCGGUUUUGAAGCGAUACACACUAAGAGGAGAAAUAGGCUUACUACAACACGUCUCAACAAAUUAGUCUACAUUCAAUUCAACUCCAAGCUGCUUAAUAGGAGAGAA
Long non-coding RNA from Sorghum bicolor (sorghum), 352 nucleotides. RefSeq lists it as uncharacterized. The record is from RefSeq and is a predicted model, not a curated record. Lineage: Eukaryota; Viridiplantae; Streptophyta; Magnoliopsida; Poales; Poaceae. The transcript is spliced from 3 exons.